This 233-nucleotide long non-coding RNA is filed under the name Bos mutus (wild yak). Its description in RNAcentral is "lncRNA (ENSBMUG00000000142.1)". Lineage: Eukaryota; Metazoa; Chordata; Mammalia; Artiodactyla; Bovidae. The record is from RNAcentral.
UGUCAUGCAGCGACAUGCAGUAGAUGUCAGGGGGAUGAGCAGAUGCAUGGAGUCACCAUGAGAGUGACAAAGUCCAAGGGACUCUCAAGAGAAGGAAGGAAGUGGAGGAACCAUUCUUAUUUGGGCAAACCAAGAAGGGCAUCAUGGAGGAAGAGGCUGCCACAGGGCAUUCUGUAUUUUCUGCCUAAGUCGUGGAUGUAACAGCAAAGAAAAAUAAAAGAGUUAAGUUUGUG